UCGGACGUGGUGCAUGGUGUACACCCGCUUGUGCUGGAUAGUAAAGGAAGAUGCUAACGCGGGAGGCCUGGGUUCGAUUCCCAGCAUCUGAA
Molecule: non-coding RNA, 92 nt
Organism: Mycena leptocephala
Lineage: Eukaryota; Fungi; Basidiomycota; Agaricomycetes; Agaricales; Mycenaceae
Source: the annotation of a GenBank genome assembly